This 200-nucleotide unclassified non-coding RNA is filed under the name Humaria sp. RNAcentral describes it as "partial internal transcribed spacer 2". Lineage: Eukaryota; Fungi; Ascomycota; Pezizomycetes; Pezizales; Pyronemataceae. The record is from RNAcentral.
UUAAGUUCAGCGGGUAUCCCUACCUGAUCCGAGGUCAACCUUUGAUGAAUGGGGAUUUCUCCAAUGGCAAGCAGUGCACCCACGAUGCGAGCGAAUAGUGCUGGUAAGCCUUUACAACGCCGCAAACACGUGGGGACAAACCGCCUCUGAAUUUCGGUGGUGAGGCAAUUCAACGCGAUGCACGCAUCCCCUCAUUCACC